GGGCUCAUAGCUCAGUGGUAGAGC
RNAcentral lists this non-coding RNA (24 nucleotides) under Arabidopsis thaliana (thale cress). The record is from RNAcentral. Lineage: Eukaryota; Viridiplantae; Streptophyta; Magnoliopsida; Brassicales; Brassicaceae.